This is a ribosomal RNA of Protopterus annectens (West African lungfish), 154 nucleotides long. RefSeq annotates it as 5.8S ribosomal RNA. NCBI's taxonomy places the organism in Eukaryota, Metazoa, Chordata, Ceratodontiformes, Protopteridae. The transcript has a single exon. The record is from RefSeq and is a predicted model, not a curated record.
AACUCUGAGCAGUGGAUCACGUGGCUUGUGCGUCAAUGAAGAACGCAGCUAAUUGCGAGAACUAAUGUGAAUUGCAGGACACAUUGACCAUCAACACUUUGAAUGCACUUUGCGGCCCCGAGUUACUCCUGAAGCUACGCCUGUCUCAGGGUCA